AUUGAACGCUGGCGGCAGGCCUAACACAUGCAAGUCGAGCGGUUGAAGGGAGCUUUCUCCUGGAUUCAGCGGGGGACGGGUGAGUAAUGCCUAGGAAUCUGCCUGGUAGUGGGGGAUAACGUCCGGAAACGGGCGCUAAUACUGCAUACGUCCUGAGGGAGAAGGUGGGGGAUCUUCGGACCUCACGCUAUCAGAUGAGCCUAGGUCGGAUUAGCUAGUUGGUGGGGUAAAGGCCUACUAAGGCGACGAUCCGUAACUGGUCUGAGAGGAUGAUCAGUCACACUGGAACUGAGACACGGUCCCGACUCCUACGGGAGGCAGCAGUGGGGAAUAUUGGACAAUGGGGGAAAGCCUGAUCCAGCCAGGCCGCGUGUGUGAAGAAGGUCUUCGGAUUGUAAAGCACUUUAAGUUGGGAGGAAGGGCAGUAAGUUAAUAACUUGCUGUUUUGACGUUACCAACAGAAUAAGCACCGGCUAACUUCGUG
RNAcentral lists this ribosomal RNA (484 nucleotides) under uncultured bacterium. Its description in RNAcentral is "partial 16S ribosomal RNA". It matches the Rfam family "Bacterial small subunit ribosomal RNA", at positions 30 to 507 of the family's 1533-position model. The record is from RNAcentral.